CACCUGUGUUUGUGAUAUCACAGACACGCUGAGAUCCACAAAUGUGUCAUUAGCCCACCAGGUUGGCACAGAACGGCUGCAUCUGAAGGCAUUUCCCCAUCACCAGGGCUGGGAAGAUUACAGGAAAGCAGGCAGGAGAAAGAGAAAGAUGGAGGGGAAAAAGGAGGACCCAGGUUCCCCGGGGCAGCAGUCCUGCCUUCGGCCACAUGGACAGAUUUUCAUCGCCAUCGAGACGCAGGGCAGAUUGCUCGGCUAAUGAGUACAUGUCACUGCGCUGCUGCUGCUGCUGACUUGAGUAGUGAGUGAUGUCAUGCUGGCUGCCCAGCCCUGCUAUAAUGCAACUGUCAGGGCCCCGUGGGGAAAACUUGGGGAGAAAUACGAGAAGUCUAAAAAGCAGCAAAAGGCCCAGUCAAGUGAAGGGAAAUGGAAUUACAGUCAUGCUGAAAGCAGGCACACUGGAGAAUUAAAACACUUUGUUUUGGAACCAGA
This 489-nucleotide long non-coding RNA is filed under the name Homo sapiens (human). RNAcentral describes it as "HSALNT0365003". Lineage: Eukaryota; Metazoa; Chordata; Mammalia; Primates; Hominidae. The record is from RNAcentral.